UGGGGAAUAUUGCACAAUGGGCGCAAGCCUGAUGCAGCCAUGCCGCGUGUGUGAAGAAGGCCUUCGGGUUGUAAAGCACUUUCAGCGAGGAGGAAGGUGGUGAACUUAAUACGUUCAUCAAUUGACGUUACUCGCAGAAGAAGCACCGGCUAACUCCGUGCCAGCAGCCGCGGUAAUACGGAGGGUGCAAGCGUUAAUCGGAAUUACUGGGCGUAAAGCGCACGCAGGCGGUUUGUUAAGUCAGAUGUGAAAUCCCCGGGCUCAACCUGGGAACUGCAUUUGAAACUGGCAAGCUAGAGUCUCGUAGAGGGGGGUAGAAUUCCAGGUGUAGCGGUGAAAUGCGUAGAGAUCUGGAGGAAUACCGGUGGCGAAGGCGGCCCCCUGGACGAAGACUGACGCUCAGGUGCGAAAGCGUGGGGAGC
RNAcentral lists this ribosomal RNA (422 nucleotides) under uncultured bacterium. Its description in RNAcentral is "partial 16S ribosomal RNA". It matches the Rfam family "Bacterial small subunit ribosomal RNA", at positions 355 to 769 of the family's 1533-position model. The record is from RNAcentral.